Molecule: unclassified non-coding RNA, 233 nt
Filed under: Hevea brasiliensis (rubber tree)
Lineage: Eukaryota; Viridiplantae; Streptophyta; Magnoliopsida; Malpighiales; Euphorbiaceae
Source: RNAcentral
GUUAGAGGUGAACAUGUGACGAUGAAAAUGGAUGAACCCACCUCAGAGGUUUUCCGUUCAGAAAAUCCACUGGCAGUUAAUCCAUUUCUUCAUCAACACAAUACUGAAACAGAAAAUGUUCUGUCAGCAGUAGGAGACAACUCUGGCUUACUGGAGUGUAUUGUAGAGGGUAGUUUGGAUGGGGAAAGUGCUCCAAUGGACACCGGUGCUGCCAGAGAGUUGGGGCAACUAAA